This is a long non-coding RNA of Oncorhynchus tshawytscha (Chinook salmon), 1276 nucleotides long. Lineage: Eukaryota; Metazoa; Chordata; Actinopteri; Salmoniformes; Salmonidae. The record is from Ensembl.
AUGUUUCCCAAAGAGGUUGAGAGAGAGGGAACAAUGGACAGAGGGGUGGAGAGAGAGAUGGAGAGGGAACAAUGGACAGAGGGGUGGAGAGAGAUGUGGAGAGGGAACAAUGAACAGAGGGGUAGAGAGAGAGGUGGAGAGGGAACAAUGGACAGAGGGGUGGAGAGAGAGGUGGAGAGGGAACAAUGGACAGAGGGGUAGAGAGAGAGGUGUAGAGGGAACAAUGGACAAAGGGGUGGAGAGAGGUGGAGAGGGAACAAUAGACAAAGGGGUGGAGAGAGGUGGAGAGGGAGAGAACAAUGGACAGAGGGCUAGAGAGAGAGGUGGAGAGAGAGAGAGAGAGGUGGAGAGAGAGGGAACAAUGGACAGAGGGGUAGAGAGAGAGAUGGAGAGUGAGAGAACAAUGGACAGAGGGAUGGAGAGAGAGAGAGAGAGAGAGAGAGAGAGAUGAAUAGAGCACCAGGAGAGGAGCGGGCGGUGGUCUUGAUAGCAUGAGGAUAUAUUACCAGAAAAUAAAAACAGAGCUGGAGGAGAUGAGGGUAAAACACAGUCCCCUCCAGAGAACCAGAGCUUUAACACCUUUUCACAAGAUAUUCCUCUCUUCACAGGAUGGAACAGUUUGUCAAACAGUCCCAGAAUGCACCUCAACUAGGCCAGAGCGCUGUCAGUGGAACACAUUUCCCUAAUUGCCCAAUAAAGUACAGCAUGUUUGGCAAUAGGGGAAUAUGUUUGUCCUGGACUGUUUUGUUCUGUAAAUACUGUCUGUAGGUAACCUUGCAUGGGAACAAUGUAAUACAAAGAAAACAUAGAACUUGUUAGCAGUAACAGGCCAUAAACUUACCAGGGUGCUGUAAUUGAUAAAGCUCUCUGAAAUAAAUAAAUACUCAGGAACAUGUUGAAUAUCAUAACUUAAACAUUCUCCCAAUUUAUACACCAAGUCCCAUCUGCUUCUGUAGCCCCAGUCUGUUCUGCCAAGCUAAGCCGGGUACAGAGCUAGAGAACACAACAGAACAAUGGGUUAAGGUUAGUCAUGUAGACUUCCCCUCAGGGCCAGUCACUUUGAUAAGGUUCCAUACCUCCAGGCCUUCUUCCACCGUACCCUCUCUCUCCCUGUCCCUCUCAGUACGACACUCCCUCCGGCGUUCCUGCUUUACGGAGUGUGACACGGCUUCGCGGACGACUAACCCCGCAGAGACAGAACGACAUUAAGGAACCCUGAAACAGGCUGAAACACAACCUCCAUUACCCCCACCCUCUCUUGCCCUUCUCUUCCCCG